CAAUAGCGUAUAUUAAAGUUGUUGCAGUUAAAAAGCUCGUAGUUGGAUUUGUGGUGUACUUUGGCGGCCCGUCACUAUGUGAUGGAGCUUGCUGAAGUCGCCAUCCUUGGGUGGAUCCUGUGUGGCAUUAAGUUGUCGUGCAGGGGAUGCCCAUCGUUUACUGUGAAAAAAUUAGAGUGUUCAAAGCAGGCUUAUGCCGUUGAAUAUAUUAGCAUGGAAUAAUAAGAUAGGACCUUGGUACUAUUUUGUUGGUUUGCGCACCAAGGUAAUGAUUAAUAGGGACAGUUGGGGGUAUUCGUAUUUCAUUGUCAGAGGUGAAAUUCUUGGAUUUUUGAAAGACGAACUACUGCGAAANCANNNACCAAGGAUGUUUUCAUNAA
Molecule: ribosomal RNA, 380 nt
Filed under: uncultured eukaryote
Lineage: Eukaryota
Description: partial 18S ribosomal RNA
Rfam family: Eukaryotic small subunit ribosomal RNA
Source: RNAcentral